Scophthalmus maximus (turbot) is the source of this 1284-nucleotide long non-coding RNA. RefSeq lists it as uncharacterized. NCBI's taxonomy places the organism in Eukaryota, Metazoa, Chordata, Actinopteri, Pleuronectiformes, Scophthalmidae. The transcript has 3 exons. The record is from RefSeq and is a predicted model, not a curated record.
UGUGGCCGUGGACUCGCUGGGGUUGGAGCCUCGUCGCUGUGUGUUGCCGCGACAGAACAGCAGCAGACGGAGCUCCGGAGCGACGCUGCUGGAGAAGGCCGAGUAGAUCCAGGGGUUGGUGCACGAGUUCAGACUGGCCAACAGCAUCAGCAAGACGGUGAUGGUGAGGACGGGGAGGAUGAAGACAGCCAGGGUCAUCCAGGUCACGUAGGCUUUGAGGCCCCAGGACUCGGCAAAGUUGCCCCAGCACUCAUACACUCCUGGAGCUACCUCUGAACGGGAGAAGAUGAAAACCUGCGGGACAGAGAAGUGUGUUAAGAAUCAUCACCAGGAGCAGCCAACAGGACUGAAGCAACACGCAGAGGAGGAAAAAAUGCUGCGAGGAGUUCAUUCAUUACAAAAGCAAACAGUGAAAAGCAGUUACGACGACAUGACGACAUGUCUUGAGGCAGGUCUGGCAGCUUUUGAACCAGGUUUUAAUGUGAUAUGCAAAUGAUUGGUGGGCAAUGUUGAGGCAAGGAUGAUCCGACGACUGGGAAGCUCUUACUGUGAACGUUGUCUGUUUCAUUCCUUGGGCCUGUUCCAUGAAGAAAGUUUGAUGUACCCAGGGGAUCUUUUCGUAAUCCGCCUUAACUAAAACCUAACAUCGGCGGUGCUGGUAACCAGCUACGAGCGCGUUCAUGUGUAAGAGGCGGUGAUGUUGAUUUCCAGCUACAUCGUCAGAAUAUGAAUAAAGUUGUUAUAACGAUAUGAGAGGAAACGCCACAGCGACAGACACAAGUGACAUUUAAAAUGUUGAUGAUGUGAUAAAAACAUUUUUUUUUUAUUUUUAAAGUCAGUAAAAUAAUAAGCACAGGAAUUUUAAUAACUUUAUUAGUGAGAGACUAUUUUUUGUCUUUUGUCACCCGACCUGUGGCACCCCACCUGUGUCACCCGACCUUUCUAACCCGACCAGUGGGACCCCACCUGUGGCACCCGACCUGUCACACCCUACCUGUGGCACCCGACCUGUCUCACCCGACCUGUGUCACCUGACCUUUCUAACCCUACCUGUGGCACCCGACCUGUCUCACCCGACUUGUGUCACCCCACCUGUGGCACCCGACCUGUGGCACCCGACCUGUCUCACCCAACCUGUGGCACCCCACCUGUGGGACCCGACCUGUCUCACCCGACCUGUCUCACCCGACCUGUGUCACCCUACCUGUGGCACCCUACCUGUGGCAGGCUGAGCAGCAGCGACAGCCCCCAGGCCAGCAGCAGGAAGGUGUUCCAGCGCUGGGU